UUCAAGGUAGCCUAGUGGGCAUGGCAUCUGCCCGGUAAGCGGAACAUUGUGGGCUCGAUUCCCAUCCCUGGAC
RNAcentral lists this transfer RNA (73 nucleotides) under Cordylochernes scorpioides. Its description in RNAcentral is "tRNA-Thr". It matches the Rfam family "tRNA". Rfam says of the family: Transfer RNA (tRNA) molecules are approximately 80 nucleotides in length. Their secondary structure includes four short double-helical elements and three loops (D, anti-codon, and T loops). Lineage: Eukaryota; Metazoa; Arthropoda; Arachnida; Pseudoscorpiones; Chernetidae. The record is from RNAcentral.